Non-coding RNA from Podospora conica, 85 nucleotides. NCBI's taxonomy places the organism in Eukaryota, Fungi, Ascomycota, Sordariomycetes, Sordariales, Podosporaceae. The record is from the annotation of a GenBank genome assembly.
GGCUCCGUGGUGUAAUGGUAGCACAAGACUGUGGUUUGGGAUCCACUCCAAGUCUAGUUUCCGGGUUCGAAUCCCGGCGGAGCAA